UGAACCCAAGCCAGCCUUAGACUGAACUUUCAAAGUACAAUUAAACAACGCCGUGAGGAAAUGGAACAUUCGACAAGGUGUGAUGACCGUGUCGUGUCAUGCAGAAAAAUGUCCUUAUUUCUAGGAAUUGCAUGCUGAGAUCUCGCUCUGGGACAAACCAGCUUCUAUGUCAUGAGUACACUCAGGCAGCUCAUUGGAGAGAUCUGCAUGGUAAAGCAACGAGGCCUCCUGCCAGCAGCCAUGUGAGUGGCAUCUUGGAGCCAGACCCUCCAGCCCCAGUCAAGCCUUCGGAUGCCUGCAGCCCUGGCUGACAUUUUAACCACAACUUCAUGCGAGAUUCUGAGCCAGAAUCACCCAGCUAAGCUGCUCCCGGGUUGCCAGCUUCCAGAAUCACGGUAGGAUGACCUCUCUCCCCUGCUUGGAAGUUACGUAUAUCCAGCAACUUUGAAAUUGAGUAAGACUGGGAUGUGUCAUCCCCAAGAGGGCACUUCAAGAGCCAGUGUGCCAUCACAACCUCUUUCUCUCCCUCUAUCAAACCAGUUGCCAGUGUUAUAAAUAAUGAGACCAUGCUCUAUCAGCUUGGGGCCAGGGGUUGGGGUGAUGUGGAGCAGAGCUGUUAGCUGACCCACCAUGGAUGUGUAGCAGCGGAAGAAGCAAGCCAUGUGCUAUUGAAGCACCCACAUUUUGGAUGUUACUGCAGCACAACCUGAACUAUACUGACUGAUGCAGAACCGUAGAGAAUUUGGGGAAAAUACUGUCUGGCCACCCAGAAAACAAAGACCAGUUAGGAUUUGUUUUAUUUUCUCUUCUUCCCAGAUCAAUCCACAGUUCUCCAGGGACCCAUUGUGGUUUUGUGCUUCCUCUGUGCCUGUUCUGCCCCUCUCCAUGCACCCCCACUUCCCCAGCCCCUCCCAGUCCCCUCAACGGUCCUUCUGGCCAGCCCCACAGCCCCCUCUCUGCCCCACAGUCCUCAGGCUCCAGCUUCCUCGUUAGGAAGUGUUAGAAAGUUGCUGGAGUGAGAAAUGAGCCUGUGAAACUCGUUGUCCUAAUUAAACUUCCACAAGGAGAGUGACAAGAGGCGACGGGGAGGAAACGGUGCCACCACCAAGGUCUCAGCCUGGGCCCAGGUCGAGGAAGGCCUUUGUCCUGCAGAACAAAAGCCACUGUUUGCACGUGUUAAACUUCAUCAAACUUCAACAGACCCAGGUGCAAAACCCCACAUCCCAAAUGCCAUCCGGGCUUAUGCCACCUUCCCGAGCAUGGACCGUCCCUAGCCGUCAACCCUAAUCAGGGCCAUGCCCCACAUCAAAGCUGCACUCCCUCCACAGACAGCUUCUGCUCUCAGAUGCAUUGUUCCUAUGACUUCCUACACUCGGCCCUUGUCUGACGAAUUAGGGCACGGAGCUCCCCAUGGCACAGCUGGGCCCUGCUGGCAUUGUUAAUGAGGUAGGAAGGGCGCGUUUGUCUGAGCCUGGGACUAACAUAAUCACAUAAAGUUGUUGCUUUGGAAUUGAUGGAGCUGCCCCAGAGUCAAUUUUCUUGGAAGCAACGCAAAGCACAGCUUCCUGGGAGAAGACACAAUGCCUCCUAUUGUCUCUGCCACUUCCCCUCCAGCCUCCCAGCAUUUCUGCGUCUCCUCGGGAGCCACUGCCCUGUGCAAGAGCUGUUUGCUGAUGCCCAGCCGUGGUUUCCAAAACUCCCGUGAGAAGUCGUUUCUGUCCACAGUCAUUGUUU
This 1734-nucleotide long non-coding RNA is filed under the name Pan troglodytes (chimpanzee). RNAcentral's name for it is "long non-coding RNA NONPTRT005535". Lineage: Eukaryota; Metazoa; Chordata; Mammalia; Primates; Hominidae. The record is from RNAcentral.